RNAcentral lists this ribosomal RNA (410 nucleotides) under uncultured bacterium. Its description in RNAcentral is "bacterial SSU rRNA". It matches the Rfam family "Bacterial small subunit ribosomal RNA", at positions 29 to 416 of the family's 1533-position model. The record is from RNAcentral.
AGCGAACGCUGGCGGCGUGCUUAACACAUGCAAGUCGAGCGAAGGUGUUUCAAGGGUAACCUUGAGAUACACUUAGCGGCGGACGGGUGAGUAAUACGUGGAUAACUUACCUCUAGGCCUGGGAUAACCCCGGGAAACUGGGGCUAAUACCUGAUAAGACCACAUUGUCUACGGACAAAGGGGUAAAAGGUGGCUGUGCAAACAGCUAUCGCCGAAAGAUAGGUUCACGUCCCAUCAGGCAGUUGGUGAGGUAAUGGCUCACCAAACCAAAGACGGGUAGCCGGCCUUGGCGGGUGAACGGCCACACGGGGACUGAGACACGGCCCCGACUCCUACGGGAGGCAGCAGUGGGGAAUAUUGGGCAAUGGGCGCAAGCCUGACCCAGCGACGUCGCGUUGGGGAAGAAGGCC